UUAAAGUGCUUGUAUAUAAUUUA
This 23-nucleotide non-coding RNA is filed under the name Arabidopsis thaliana (thale cress). The record is from RNAcentral. Lineage: Eukaryota; Viridiplantae; Streptophyta; Magnoliopsida; Brassicales; Brassicaceae.